UACCUUACAAGGAUAACUACGGAAAAGCUGUAGCUAAUACUUGCUUUAAUGCGUUUGAUUCAUUUUUGUCUCUUACGUAUGUACUUGUUAAGCCUUUAAGAGAAAAGUUUACAACUUAAGGAAUUAUAACAAAGAAGUAACACAUAAUAAGUUUACCUUAUUUAGUGUGUAUCAAUCGAGUUUCUGACCUAUCAGCUUUUGAUGUUAGGGUAUUGGCCUAACAUGGCUAUGACGGGUAACGGGGAAUUAGAGUUCGAUUCCGGAGAGGGAGCCUGAGAAAUAGCUACCACAUCUAAGGAAGGCAGCAGGCGCGUAAAUUACCCAAUUCUAAAGAAGAGAGGUAGUGACAAGAAAUAACAAUACAAGGCCAUUUCAUGGUUUUGUAAUUGGAAUGAUGGGAAUUUAAAACCUUCCCAAAAUUCAAUUGGAGGGCAAGUCUGGUGCCAGCAGCCGCGGUAAUUCCAGCUCCAAUAGCGUAUAUUAAAAUUGUUGCAGUUAAAACGCUCGUAGUUGAAUUUCAAAGAAUCAAUAUUUUAAGUAAUGCUUUUGGUAUAAGAUGCUUAGGCAAUACAACGUAUCUGCUCUUUGCAUUCCUUAUCCAAAAUGUGUUCUUAUUAUAAAAAGGAUUCUUUUUAAAAUCUCCUUUACUUUUUGUACUGGAGAUUUUGUUACUUUGAGUAAAUUAGAGUGUUCAAAGCAAACAGUUAAAGCAUUUUACUGCGUUUGAAUACUACAGCAUGGAAUAACAAAAUUGAACAAGUCAAAACUCUGUUCUUUUUUCUUAUUUUGGCUUAGUUACGAUUAAUAGGAGUAGCUUGGGGGCAUUUGUAUUCAGAUGUCAGAGGUGAAAUUCUUAGAU
RNAcentral lists this ribosomal RNA (859 nucleotides) under Plasmodium ovale wallikeri. RNAcentral describes it as "SSU rRNA". It matches the Rfam family "Eukaryotic small subunit ribosomal RNA", at positions 131 to 925 of the family's 1831-position model. Lineage: Eukaryota; Apicomplexa; Aconoidasida; Haemosporida; Plasmodiidae. The record is from RNAcentral.